Molecule: ribosomal RNA, 374 nt
Filed under: uncultured organism
Description: partial 16S ribosomal RNA
Rfam family: Bacterial small subunit ribosomal RNA
Source: RNAcentral
GUAGGUGGCAAGCGUUGUCCGGAAUUAUUGGGCGUAAAGCGCGCGCAGGCGGUCCUUUAAGUCUGAUGUGAAAGCCCACGGCUCAACCGUGGAGGGUCAUUGGAAACUGGGGGGCUUGAGUACAGAAGAGGAAAGCGGAAUUCCAAGUGUAGCGGUGAAAUGCGUAGAGAUUUGGAGGAACACCAGUGGCGAAGGCGGCUUUCUGGUCUGUAACUGACGCUGAGGCGCGAAAGCGUGGGGAGCAAACAGGGAUUAGAUACCCUGGUAGUCCACGCCGUAAACGACGAGUGCUAAGUGUUAGGGGGUUUCCCGCCCCCUUAGUGCUGCAGCUAACGCAUUAAGCACUCCGCCUGGGGAGUACGGCCGCAAGGCUG